RNAcentral lists this ribosomal RNA (530 nucleotides) under uncultured bacterium. RNAcentral's name for it is "bacterial SSU rRNA". It matches the Rfam family "Bacterial small subunit ribosomal RNA", at positions 540 to 1071 of the family's 1533-position model. The record is from RNAcentral.
GUUGUCCGGAUUUUGGGCGUAAAGGGCUUGUAGGCGGUUGGUCGCGUCUGCCGUGAAAUCCUCUGGCUUAACUGGGGGCGUGCGGUGGGUACGGGCUGACUUGAGUGCGGUAGGGGAGACUGGAACUCCUGGUGUAGCGGUGGAAUGCGCAGAUAUCAGGAAGAACACCGGUGGCGAAGGCGGGUCUCUGGGCCGUUACUGACGCUGAGGAGCGAAAGCGUGGGGAGCGAACAGGAUUAGAUACCCUGGUAGUCCACGCUGUAAACGUUGGGCACUAGGUGUGGGGGCCACCCGUGGUUUCUGCGCCGUAGCUAACGCUUUAAGUGCCCCGCCUGGGGAGUACGGCCGCAAGGCUAAAACUCAAAGGAAUUGACGGGGGCCCGCACAAGCGGCGGAGCAUGCGGAUUAAUUCGAUGCAACGCGAAGAACCUUACCAAGGCUUGACAUGCACGGCGACACUGCAGAGAUGUGGUGGCAUUUAGUUGGUCGUGUGCAGGUGGUGCAUGGUUGUCGUCAGCUCGUGUCGUGAG